GUGAGGAAUAUUGGUCAAUGGGCGGGAGCCUGAACCAGCCAAGUCGCGUGAAGGAAGAAGGAUCUAUGGUUCGUAAACUUCUUUUGCAGGGGAAUAAAGUGCAGGACGUGUCCUGUUUUGUAUGUACCCUGAGAAUAAGGAUCGGCUAACUCCGUGCCAGCAGCCGCGGUAAUACGGAGGAUCCGAGCGUUAUCCGGAUUUAUUGGGUUGAAAGGGUGCGUAGGUGGUGUGAUAAGUCAGCGGUGAAAGUUUGCAGCUUAACUGUAAAAAUGCCGUUGAAACUGUCGGACUUGAGUGUAAAUGAGGUAGGCGGAAUGCGUGGUGUAGCGGUGAAAUGCAUAGAUAUCACGCAGAACUCCGAUUGCGAAGGCAGCUUACUAAGCUACAACUGACACUGAAGCACGAAAGCGUGGGGAUCAAACAGGAUUAGAAACCCGGGUAGUCC
Molecule: ribosomal RNA, 445 nt
Filed under: uncultured bacterium
Lineage: Bacteria
Description: partial 16S ribosomal RNA
Rfam family: Bacterial small subunit ribosomal RNA
Source: RNAcentral